AGAGUUUGAUCCUGGCUCAGGAUGAACGCUGGCGGCGUGCCUAAUACAUGCAAGUCGAGCGAACAGAUAAGGAGCUUGCUCCUUUGAAGUUAGCGGCGGACGGGUGAGUAACACGUGGGUAACCUACCUAUAAGACUGGGAUAACUUCGGGAAACCGGAGCUAAUACCGGAUAACAUUUAGAACCGCAUGGUUCUAAAGUGAAAGAUGGUUUUGCUAUCACUUAUAGAUGGACCCGCGCCGUAUUAGCUAGUUGGUAAGGUAACGGCUUACCAAGGCGACGAUACGUAGCCGACCUGAGAGGGUGAUCGGCCACACUGGAACUGAGACACGGUCCAGACUCCUACGGGAGGCAGCAGUAGGGAAUCCUCCGCAAUGGGCGAAAGCCUGACGGAGCAACGCCGCGUGAGUGAUGAAGGGUUUCGGCUCGUAAAACUCUGUUAUUAGGGAAGAACAAAUGUGUAAGUAACUGUGCACAUCUUGACGGUACCUAAUCAGAAAGCCACGGCUAACUACGUG
This 517-nucleotide ribosomal RNA is filed under the name uncultured Staphylococcus sp. RNAcentral's name for it is "bacterial SSU rRNA". It matches the Rfam family "Bacterial small subunit ribosomal RNA", at positions 8 to 507 of the family's 1533-position model. Lineage: Bacteria; Bacillati; Bacillota; Bacilli; Caryophanales; Staphylococcaceae. The record is from RNAcentral.